Molecule: ribosomal RNA, 113 nt
Filed under: Manjekia maturbongsii
Lineage: Eukaryota; Viridiplantae; Streptophyta; Magnoliopsida; Arecales; Arecaceae
Description: partial 26S ribosomal RNA
Rfam family: Eukaryotic large subunit ribosomal RNA
Source: RNAcentral
GACCCCAGGUCAGGCGGGGACACCCGCCGAGCUUAAGCAUAUCAAUAAGCGGAGGAGAGGAAACUUACGAGGAUUCCCCUAGUAACGGCGAGCGAACCGGGACCAGCCCAACU